GAGAGUCCGGAGCAGGAAAAACGGUCAACACUAAGAGGGUGAUUCAGUACUUCGCCAUCAUCGCUGCGUUGGGGGAAAACGUGAAAAAAGGAGGAUCUUUAGAGGACCAGAUCAUUGAGGCGAAUCCAGCCAUGGAGGCGUUCGGAAACGCUAAAACCAUCCGCAACGACAACUCGUCCCGCUUUGGAAAGUUCAUCAGAAUUCAUUUUGGGCCGACGGGGAGGCUGGCGUCCGCUGACAUCGACAUCUAUCUUCUAGAAAAGUCCAGAGUUGUUUUCCAGCAGCCAGCAGAGAGAAGCUACCACAUCUACUACCAGAUCCUGUCCAAUCACA
Non-coding RNA from Plectropomus leopardus (leopard coralgrouper), 333 nucleotides. The record is from RefSeq and is a predicted model, not a curated record. Lineage: Eukaryota; Metazoa; Chordata; Actinopteri; Perciformes; Serranidae.